UACGUAGGCAGCGAGCGUUGUUCGGAGUUACUGGGCGUAAAGGGUGUGUAGGCGGUUCUUUAAGUUUAGUGUGAAAUCUCCUCGCUCAACGGGGAGAGGCCAUUGGAAACGGUCGAGCUGGAGGGCAGUAGAGGUAGGCGGAAUUCCGGGUGGAGUGGUGAAAUGCGUAGAGAUCCGGAGGAACACCAGAGGCGAAGGCGGCCUACUGGGCUGCACCUGACGCUGAGCCGCGAAAGCCAGGGGAGCGAACGGG
This 253-nucleotide ribosomal RNA is filed under the name uncultured bacterium. RNAcentral's name for it is "partial 16S ribosomal RNA". It matches the Rfam family "Bacterial small subunit ribosomal RNA", at positions 524 to 776 of the family's 1533-position model. The record is from RNAcentral.